Molecule: ribosomal RNA, 513 nt
Filed under: uncultured bacterium
Lineage: Bacteria
Description: partial 16S ribosomal RNA
Rfam family: Bacterial small subunit ribosomal RNA
Source: RNAcentral
GACGAACGCUGGCGGCGUGCUUAACACAUGCAAGUCGAACGAAAAGAGGGAAAGAGCUUGCUCUUUCCGGAAUUGAGUGGCAAACGGGUGAGUAACACGUAAACAACCUGCCUUCAGGAUGGGGACAACAGACGGAAACGACUGCUAAUACCGAAUAAGUUCCAAGGGCCGCAUGGCCCAUGGAAGAAAAGGUGGCCUCUACCUGUAAGCUAUCGCCUGAAGAGGGGUUUGCGUCUGAUUAGCUGGUUGGAGGGGUAACGGCCCACCAAGGCGACGAACCGUAGCCGGUCUGAGAGGAUGAACGGCCACCCUGGAACUGAUACACGGUCCAGACUCCGACGGGAGGCAGCAGUGGGGAAUCUUCCGCAAUGGGCGAAAGCCUGACGGGGCAACGCCGCGUGAGUGAUGACGGCCUUCGGGUUGUAAAACUCUGUGAUCCGGGACGAAAAGGCAGAGUGCGAAGAACAAACUGCAUUGACGGUACCGGAAAAGCAAGCCACGGCUAACUACGUG